UACGUAGGGGGCAAGCGUUGUCCGGAAUUAUUGGGCGUAAAGAGCGCGUAGGCGGUCCGAUAAGUCGGCUGUGAAAGUCCAGGGCUCAACCCUGGAAAGCCGGCCGAUACUGUCGGACUAGAGUCCGGAAGAGGCAAGUGGAAUUCCCGGUGUAGCGGUGAAAUGCGCAGAUAUCGGGAGGAACACCAAUGGCGAAGGCAGCUUGCUGGGACGCAACUGACGCUGAGACGCGAAAGCGUGGGGAGCAAACAGG
Molecule: ribosomal RNA, 253 nt
Filed under: uncultured bacterium
Lineage: Bacteria
Description: partial 16S ribosomal RNA
Rfam family: Bacterial small subunit ribosomal RNA
Source: RNAcentral